Molecule: ribosomal RNA, 466 nt
Filed under: uncultured bacterium
Lineage: Bacteria
Description: partial 16S ribosomal RNA
Rfam family: Bacterial small subunit ribosomal RNA
Source: RNAcentral
GAUGAACGCUGGCGGCGUGCUUAACACAUGCAAGUCGAACGGAAAGGCCGAAGCUUUCUUCGGUACUCGAGUGGCGAACGGGUGAGUAACACGUGGGUGAUCUGCCCUGUACUUCGGGAUAAGCUUAGGAAACUGGGUCUAAUACCGGAUAUGACAAUCUCUUGGAUGGGGGUGUGGAAAGCUUUUGCGGUAUGGGAUGGGUUCGCGGCGUAUCAGCUUGUUGGUGGGGUAAUGGCGUACCAAGGCGUUGACGGGUAGCCGGCCUGAGAGGGUGUACGGCCACAUUGGGACUGAGAUACGGCCCAGCCUCCUACGGGAGGCAGCAGUGGGGAAUAUUGCACAAUGGGCGGAAGCCUGAUGCAGCGACGCCGCGUGGGGGAUGACGGCCUUCGGGUUGUAAACUCCUUUCGCAACCGACGAAGCUUUUGUGACGGUAGGUUGAGAAGAAGCACCGGCUAACUACGUG